AAUACAUAGGGUAAGGAGGCGAACCGGGGGAACUGAAACAUCUAAGUACCCCGAGGAAAAGAAAUCAACCGAGAUUCCGAAAGUAGCGGCGAGCGAAAUUGGACUAGCCCUUAAGCUUUACACGCGUUAGACGAACGGUCUGGAAAGUCCGACGAUACAGGGUGAUAGUCCCGUAGUUGACGACGUGUGUUCAGUGAAAUCGAGUAGGGCGGGACACGUGAUAUCCUGUCUGAAUAUGGGGG
This 242-nucleotide ribosomal RNA is filed under the name Vibrio parahaemolyticus. RNAcentral describes it as "partial 23S ribosomal RNA". It matches the Rfam family "Bacterial large subunit ribosomal RNA", at positions 161 to 450 of the family's 2925-position model. The record is from RNAcentral. Lineage: Bacteria; Pseudomonadati; Pseudomonadota; Gammaproteobacteria; Vibrionales; Vibrionaceae.